RNAcentral lists this transfer RNA (544 nucleotides) under uncultured Prochlorococcus sp. RNAcentral describes it as "partial 16S-23S ribosomal RNA intergenic spacer". The stretch from base 212 to 284 matches the Rfam family "tRNA". Lineage: Bacteria; Bacillati; Cyanobacteriota; Cyanophyceae; Synechococcales; Prochlorococcaceae. The record is from RNAcentral.
CAGGGAGACAACAAAAUGUUUAAUAUUAUUAUUUUGUCACCUUAGGUCGAUCGGUAUCUCACGUUCUUAAUUUAUUAAGAAUUUCAUUUUCUAAGUUUUUCUAGGUCACACCCAUUAUUUUUCCUGGGCCAUUAGCUCAGGUGGUUAGAGCGCACCCCUGAUAAGGGUGAGGUCCCUGGUUCAAGUCCAGGAUGGCCCAUAUCUCUAUGUUGGGGGUAUAGCUCAGUUGGUAGAGCGCCUGCUUUGCAAGCAGGAUGUCAGCGGUUCGAGUCCGCUUACCUCCACUGAUUACCACCUCUUCCAUAACCGGUAGUAAAGGAAAUGUUUUGAGUUGUGAUCAAAUUCUGAAAGAAUCUAGCUUCCUAAUGAAGAAAUCAUUAAGAUGCUGGACUCAUUGAAUUAAUUUCAUUGUUUUCAGAGAACCUUGACAACUGCAUAGAUUAUUUUAAAGACAAUAAGCAUCUUUAAUGAUGCAGAUUUAUUAUUUGUGCGAAUGCAUUAAUAACAAUUCUAUUAAGCUGAUGCUUCAAUUUUUGAAGUUAUU